GGUGCGGUUAAGAAGGUGACGCUAAAAGCAAGGACCGCAGAUCGGCAAGUGUCUGAUGGGGCGGUAAAAGCUUGAUGUGAAAAAAUACUGUUUGGCUCAGCUGCAGGCCACUGCUUCUUCAUCAAGAGCGGGGGAUCUCUGCGUGUACAUCUGAUCACAUGUGUACAGGAAAGAAAUAAAGAGCAAGUGUUCAUCAUCCAGUCGUUAAAGCAUCAGGGACAAAUAUCACCAUCAAGGAUUGAAAAGACUGGCGACACCCCUUCCUCUCGAGUAAGCAAAUAAAUUCGAGGAUACUUUUUUUUCUACUAAAAAAGGAUUUAUUGGCAGGAAAAAUUAUUAACUACAGGAUAAAUUAAUUGAAAUCACACUCGAUUUAUAAUUAGACUAUUUUACCCAUCGUUAUUUAAAAUCACGUGCAUUGUGUUUUUUAGAGGUUCCAGCUUUUUGGGUAACGCUUGUGAUGUCCAUGGAA
Molecule: long non-coding RNA, 472 nt
Organism: Cotesia glomerata
Lineage: Eukaryota; Metazoa; Arthropoda; Insecta; Hymenoptera; Braconidae
Exons: 3
Source: RefSeq, a predicted model, not a curated record